This is a long non-coding RNA of Sphaeramia orbicularis (orbiculate cardinalfish), 209 nucleotides long. RefSeq lists it as uncharacterized. The record is from RefSeq and is a predicted model, not a curated record. Lineage: Eukaryota; Metazoa; Chordata; Actinopteri; Kurtiformes; Apogonidae. The transcript has 3 exons.
UGGAAACUAUGCAUCAAUGUCUGGCAACUGAUGUCAGCAAAGACUUUCUGUAGACCUAUAUUCAGAUGAGAAGCCUCCCACAGUCUUUGUCAGUCCUGCUAAAGCAUUGUUUAAAUAGACUCCUUUAACUGAAUUGCUCCAUGUGCCUGUGUAUGUGAUCCCAGGUGAGGUCAUUCAUUUCAUAUAGAGAAUUUCUGUGAAGUUUUUGA